RNAcentral lists this ribosomal RNA (207 nucleotides) under Triticum aestivum (bread wheat). RNAcentral describes it as "partial small subunit ribosomal RNA". The record is from RNAcentral. Lineage: Eukaryota; Viridiplantae; Streptophyta; Magnoliopsida; Poales; Poaceae.
AUGAAAAACUUCAUUAAGGAAAAAGUGCAAUCCUGCCUCAUUUGUCAACAAGCUAAACCAGAGACAAUCAACUAUCCAGGGUUGCUGUCACCCCUGCCAGUUCCCAAGAAGGUCUGGGAGUAUGUCACCAUGGAUUUCAUAUCUGGAUUGCCAAUAUCAGGACAAUUUGACUGCAUUUUCCUGGUAAUUGAUAAGUUCACUAACUGA